AACACUCACAGAAGGUGUCAUGAUAUUAUCAGCAUCACUAACCGAAGGCAGGAGAAAUGUGACGGUGCAGCCUGGACAGCCUGAGAACACACAGGUUCAUACCUUGUCUGAUUCCUUCCUCUCCUUGAAGCAAGGCAGUUCAUCUCUCCAGAUACAAAUCAUAAUUACCAGAGACUGGUGGGAAAGAGCCCAAAUUCAAAUGAAUACAUACAUACCUAUGUGUGUGUGCACGUGUUAUUCAAGUACUGCCUGUCAAAGCUGGAGGGAAGCUUUUAAAUAAAGUCAUGGAGAAUGUCAA
Parus major (Great Tit) is the source of this 298-nucleotide long non-coding RNA. RefSeq lists it as uncharacterized. NCBI's taxonomy places the organism in Eukaryota, Metazoa, Chordata, Aves, Passeriformes, Paridae. The record is from RefSeq and is a predicted model, not a curated record. The transcript is spliced from 2 exons.